GGGCUCGUAGCUCAGCCUGGUUAGAGCACCCGGCUGAUAACCGGGUGGUCCGGGGUUCAAAUCCCCGCGGGCCCACCA
This is a transfer RNA of 78 nucleotides. It matches the Rfam family "tRNA". From Rfam's summary of the family: Transfer RNA (tRNA) molecules are approximately 80 nucleotides in length. Their secondary structure includes four short double-helical elements and three loops (D, anti-codon, and T loops).